Molecule: non-coding RNA, 21 nt
Filed under: Caenorhabditis elegans
Lineage: Eukaryota; Metazoa; Nematoda; Chromadorea; Rhabditida; Rhabditidae
Source: RNAcentral
UGUCGAUCCUGCUUUUAUGAG